This 252-nucleotide ribosomal RNA is filed under the name uncultured bacterium. Its description in RNAcentral is "partial 16S ribosomal RNA". It matches the Rfam family "Bacterial small subunit ribosomal RNA", at positions 524 to 776 of the family's 1533-position model. The record is from RNAcentral.
UACGUAGGGUGCGAGCGUUGUCCGGAAUUACUGGGCGUAAAGAGCUCGUAGGUGGUUUGUCGCGUUGUUCGUGAAAACUCACAGCUCAACUGUGGGCGUGCGGCGAUACGGGCAGGCUAGAGUUCGGUAGGGGAGACUGGAAUUCCCGGUGUAGUGGUGAAAUGCGUAGAUAUCGGGAGGAACACCAGUGGCGAAGGCGACUUCCUGGCCUGUUCUUGACGCUGAGGCGCGAAAGCUAGGGUAGCAAACGGG